UAUUCCGGCUGGGGGAGCUUAAAAUUUUAACUUAUUGUUAAGCGAUUUAACUUUAAUUUAAGAGAUCUUUUAAGCUGAGAGUGGUUUAAUGCCUGACUCCUCGUACCUGAUGCAGUUAAUACUGACGUAGGAAAGCUCGAUAAAAUUAAG
RNAcentral lists this non-coding RNA (150 nucleotides) under Desulfovibrio litoralis. RNAcentral's name for it is "TPP sequence". It matches the Rfam family "TPP riboswitch aptamer (THI element)". From Rfam's summary of the family: Vitamin B(1) in its active form thiamin pyrophosphate (TPP) is an essential coenzyme that is synthesised by coupling of pyrimidine and thiazole moieties in bacteria. Lineage: Bacteria; Pseudomonadati; Thermodesulfobacteriota; Desulfovibrionia; Desulfovibrionales; Desulfovibrionaceae. The record is from RNAcentral. RNAcentral also lists the same sequence under 1 other name.